UACAAAGUAAUUAUAGUAAAGUACAGUACUCCCAAAAUAACUGUAAACGUCGUUAGACAAGUUAAUGUUAUACGCGUAAACGUUCUCAAACGACAUUAACUUGUGUUAGUGGAUUAGCUGCAGCAGCAGACGGAAGUAGCAGCAAGAGGUCCAAACGGUGGCAGCUGACAGCUCGCCCUCUAUGACGCAAGUACGUCACUGAUGGCGGACCGCACACUAGUCCACAGACACACACACUCGCCGAGGGACGGAGCAAAGUCACCGAGACACACUCUCGCAAGCCUAUUGGCCUAACUCCUGCCGAAUCGAACGCGAACCUUCCGAGGUGAGACGGGUAGCAGUGGUACAGUAGUUUAGUAGAAUGUGGGACGGGACGGGACCGGCUCGGCGAGCAGUGGAGUGAAGCCGGCCGCCUCGGGCUGACGUGCCCGCCGCAUGUUGAGCAAGCAGCAAGUUGACGGACAUAAAAGUGGCUUCGACGCGGAAGAGAAGAGGAGCCGGGCUCGCAUUUAAUAUCAUUUCGUCGAAUCUUCCUUCCUGCAACUAUGAAAUUCGCCGAGCACCUUUCGUCCCACAUCACUCCGGAGUGGCGAAAGCAGUACCUUCAAUAUGAGGCAUUCAAGGAUAUGCUUUAUGCAUCCCAGGACCAAGCCCCAUCUACAGAAGUCACAGAUGAGGAUACCGUGAAGAGAUACUAUGCUAAAUUUGAAGAGAGGUUUUUCCAGACCUGUGAGAAGGAGCUGUUGAAAAUCAACACUUUUUAUUCAGAAAAGCUUGCGGAAGCCCAGAGACGCUUUGCCACCCUGCAGAAUGAGCUGCAGUCUUCGCUGGAUGCCCAGCGCGAGAGCAACGCUCCGCCCGGGCUGCGCAAACGCAAGACCGUGUUCCACCUGUCGCAAGAGGAGCGCUGCAAGCACCACAACAUCAAGGACCUGAAGCUUGCCUUCAGUGAGUUCUACCUGAGUCUCAUCCUGCUGCAGAACUACCAGAAUUUAAAUUUCACCGGUUUCCGUAAGAUCCUGAAGAAACAUGACAAGAUUCUGGAUACCUCUCGCGGGGCCGACUGGCGUGUGGCACACGUGGAGGUGGCGCCAUUUUACACCUGCAAGAAGAUUACACAGCUCAUCACGGAGACUGAGACGUUGGUGACCACAGAGCUGGAGGGAGGAGAUCGUCAACGGGCGAUGAAGAGGUUACGAGUUCCUCCGCUGGGUGCCGCUCAGCCUGCUUUGGCCUGGACCACGUUUCGUGUUGGUCUUUACUGUGGCAUCUUCAUCAUCCUCGCCAUCGCCUUUGUCCUAACAGGCACAGUGUUCAUCCGCUAUGAGAACGUGUGGCCUCUAGUGCGGAUCUACCGGGGCGGGUUUCUUUUGAUCCAGUUCCUGUUCCUCCUGGGCAUAAACACAUAUGGUUGGAGACAGGCGGGAGUCAACCACGUGCUAAUCUUUGAGAUCAAUCCUCGGAACAACCUCUCACACCAGCACCUGUUUGAGAUCGCUGGGUUCCUCGGUGUGUUAUGGUGUCUCAGCAUCCUGUCGUGUCUCUACUCGGAGUACCUCUACCUCCCCAUGCAAAUCAACCCCCUCGUCCUCUAUGGCUUCAUGCUACUCUUCCUCAUAAACCCCUUCAAGACCUGCUACUACAAGUCGCGUUUCUGGCUGCUCAAGCUGCUGUUCCGAGUGUUCACGGCACCAUUUCACCGAGUGGAGUUUGCGGACUUUUGGCUGGCCGACCAGCUCAACUCGCUGGUGGUGGUCCUGAUGGACCUGGAAUAUCUCAUCUGCUUCUACAUCUUUGAGCUGCAGUGGAGCAACAGCAAUGGCUUGUUGCCCAAAAUAAACGACUCCGCAAACUACGUGUGCCACAGCUACUCGUACGGCCUGCGCGCCAUCAUCCAGUGUCUGCCCGCCUGGCUGCGCUUCAUCCAGUGCCUCAGGCGUUAUCGAGACACCAAGAGGGCCUUCCCCCACCUGGUGAAUGCGGGCAAAUAUUCCACCACCUUCUUCGUGGUCACCUUUGCCGCGCUCUAUGCCACACACAGAGAGCAAGGCCACACAGAUGCCGACACAUUCUUCUACCUGCUGAUCGUGUUCGCCACCAUAAGCUCCUUAUACACACUGAUCUGGGAUCUGCGCAUGGACUGGGGUCUGUUUGACCGCGGAGCUGGAGAAAACACCUUCCUCAGAGAAGAGAUUGUUUACCCACAUAAGGCCUACUACUACUGUGCCAUUUUAGAAGAUGUGAUCCUGCGUUUCGCCUGGACAAUCUCUCUCUCUCUGACCUCUAUGACCAAGAUUCACUCGGUGGGUGACAUCGUGGCCACUGUGCUGGCCCCCCUCGAGGUCUUCAGGCGUUUCGUGUGGAAUUUCUUCCGCCUGGAGAACGAGCACCUGAACAACUGCGGCGAGUUCCGUGCGGUGCGAGAUAUUUCUGUGGCGCCGCUCAACGCUGACGACCAGACGCUGCUGGAGCAGAUGAUGGACCAGGAGGACGGGGUCCGCAACCGCUCGGGCAAGAAGACCUGGAAGAGGUCCUACAGCCUCACGCUGCGGCGCCCUCUACUGUCCUCUCAGUAAGGAAGAUAAGACACAAUGACCAGGGGCCUCAUGUACAAAAGGUGCGUACGCACAAAAACGUGGCGUCUGUUCUUUUUCGCGGCAAAGUUCAGAUGUAUCAAAAGUGACAUGACCGUGGAAAUGUGCGGUGCCUCACGCCAACUGCAUGGCUGGCGUACGCACGUUUCUGCUGCUUUUGGUGCUUUGGCGACACUUAGAGGUGAUGCUGGGAAACAGUUCUCAUAAAUCUGCACACCAGAGACACAUGAAUAAUUAGUACUGAUGAACAAUUCCUGCCCGGCAACAUUUGAUUUCAACAAUGCAAUUGAGGCAAGGACUGAGAAUUAUUAAUGGAUCAAGGCGAUCAUUUAUGCCGCCUAUUGCCUUCAUAAUCGCGUCGUGACUCCAGCACAUGCACUGAAAAAAAAAAAGAGUCCUUUUUAAUUUACUUCAUUUGAACAUGUACAUCGGUUGCACAUGAUUAAAAUGUGUUUAAAUUGACAUAAUUUACCCCUCUUCUCCUAAAAAAACAUGAUUCAUUGUCAGUGUGCGUGUCCUCUCCUGUGUGUUAAAAUAAUAAAUUGAGUAAUCAAAAAGGAAUCAACGUUUUUGAUAUCCUCUUUGAUAUGCUGAUGUGCUUCUAUUGCUUCUAUUUAUUACAAAUACCACACAUACAACAUUUACGCAUGAACCAUUAUCUCACAGGGCUUAGUGUAGGUUACUGUAUGAAUACAUUUGUUAUGAGUUCUAAAAAUACAUUAACCUUGUGGGGUGAUCAUAGUGGGAUCGGCUCCAGCACCUCGCGACCCUGAACAUAGGGUCACCCAUGAUCGCAGCGAUUCUCUCCUCAAACGGGUGAGGCCCUCGGCGCCGGUUCUUCCACCUUUUUCUGGCCACACUUUGGCAGUGGGCGGCUUUCCUCCAAUUCACAUCCACCUUAAUGUCUGACCACUUCUUUUUUAGUUCAAAGUGUGCGCGCUGUUCUGUCUCCACAGCAUUGACAGCCGUACACACGCUGUCCCAUUCGCUCCUCUUUCGCGUGUUGUUAACGCCGUACGACAGCGUGCCAAAGAGGAUUUUCUUGCGUGCCUCCACUUCAUUGAGCAACUUCACAUUCAGAAAAAAUAUUUUUCUUCAUUACCUUGCUCAUUUUCCUUUUUUUCUGAUUAUGCAGAGAUCCGCAUCUCAGGUGCAGGGUUCAUUUAAAUAUGAUUUGCAUAUUCAAAUGUGGGCGUGGACAGGGAGGAGUCGGCUACUCCAACAUGUGCGCUCAUUUCCACGUUGAUUGGAAUGUACGAGUACGCGACUUUCAUCCAUCUGAAUAUUUUUGUCCGUACGGCGAUUUCUGGAUUUGAGCGUACGCCAUGUUUUAGGAGGAAAUCCACGUCCAAAAAGGACACCAAGGUUCUAAUUGAGGAUACGGAUGAUGAGGCCUUCAGCUGAAUCACCAGCGAGCAUCGGCACAUGUCGACAAACAACCACACACACUCACACGCCACAUGGGUCUUCUUUUCCAUCUCUAACCUUUAGUCAAAAUGCCGCCGCCGCCCCCCCCCCCCCCCCCCCCCCCCCCCCCAAAAAAUUUCUUUUUUGCUGGGCAAUGAAAAGUACUUAUCGCCAUCAUUUGUGAGAUUUCUUUUCAUUCAUGCAAACUACGAAAACAAUGAAAAUGUUGUUGGUGUUUUUCUUUAUCGUAAAAAACAAAAUGGAAAUCAUGCAUUUCAACCUUUUGUGAUUUAUUUUUUCUUUUUUUGUAAUUUUUUUGCGCCCCACCAAAAGAAAUGUCCAUGUUGAGUGGAUAUUUUUCUUUUUCUUUUAAAAAUUGAAAACAAUAAGAAUAUAUUUCCAAAUUAUAUUUUGUUUUUGUUUUUUAUCUUUAAAGAAUUUGUGGAUUUUUGUUUUAUUUUGUCAAAAAAAAACAUUGAAAUGAAUAUAUUUCCAAAUUUGUGGAUUUUAUUUUAUUUUUAUAUUUAAAAAACAUUUUUACAAGAAUGUAUGUCCACAUUUUGUGGAUUUUCUUUCCUUUUAUUUGAAAAACUAAAAUAUUUAAGAGAACGUAUCUUUGAAUGUUCUACUGGUAUUUUUUUCUUAUCUAAAAAGAAGUUGAAAAGCAUGCAUCUCCAAAUGUGGAUUUUUUUUUAUGUUAAAAAACAAACAUUGUUUUUGCACAUUUUAGGAUUUUUUUUUUCCCUUAAAAAAACAAAAAACUAAACAAAAACAAAGGCAAUGGAAAACAUGUAUCUCCAAAUUUUGUGAGCUUUUAGAGAGAAAAAUGCCCAAAAAAACAAGAACAACAGGGUAUUGUUGUUUUUUGGCUUUAGAUGUUGAAAAGAAAAAAUUCCUAAGAAUCGGCGAUACUUUUCAUUGCUCAGUGACGAAACCAGUGAGGGGCUAACAAAGACCUCAUGUUACCUCAUCCUCAUGUAAACACACACACACACACGCACGCACCAUAAUGUGGUGAUCCUCACAAUCUGCUGAAGCACAAAUAUAGUAUUACACUCGACGUAUAAGACAACAAUGUUCCUUUUCUUUCCUUCUCUCUAUCCAUGCAUGCCAUGCAACAAAAAGCUAUUAUCGCCACCUUUUUUGUUUUGUUUUUUGUUUUUCUUUCCAAAACCCAACAAACAUAUUGUUUUCUUUGUGUUUUGGAUGAAAAUGGAAACAAUUUGAGAAGGUUUUUUUGUUUUUGUUUAGUUUUUUUGUGGCAUGGCGAUGAUGUGCUUUUAUUUCUAACCAAGCUGCAUAGACGACUGUUUACAUGCCUUUCUGGACUACUUACAGGAUCAACAGGGACAACAAGAAACAAUCAAAAAAACCAACAAAAAAAAAACAAAAAAAAGAAUUCAGUAGAAACCCGAGGAAGGACUUGAAACACGCAGCAUAUCAGAACAAAUCAACUGGUUUGACCUCAAUGAUUAUUAUUUUAUACUGUUUUUGGUUUCUUUCCUUUUAAUUGUUUGUUGUUGUUAUAAGAUAUUUAAAAAGUGCUGUCGCAACGCUGGAGGCACUUGCAGGAAAAGUGCAUUUAAUACACAAACUACAUGUAGACGACGAGGGAUGUCGCUUUGUAAUAUAAUACUUUGAUGUGCAUUAAUACUGUACUGUCCUUGUCCCGGUUCAGUGUCGUUUCUACUAGUGAGAGGAGCAUCCAACUCAGUGAUGUAUUUUCUAAUGUUUGGACUUUUUUGACACACGUUUCUACUCAAUUUCUUGUGAAAACCAAAACCAGUCUGUACAAAAUGAAUGCUUGUAUGGAAAGCUGUUUCAGCAUUCAUUCCAUAUCUUCUUAAUCUUAAGGUCCAUGUACUAGUACACUCUUUGUCCUCACUAGUAAGACAAUUCAGCACACUAGUAGACAACUUUCUUACUAAUACCGUUUGUUUGUUUGUUUUCCCCCACUACGCUGACAUUUCUGCACACGAGUAGGCCAACGUCAUACUAGUAGAAUGAAUAAAUGUUACUAGUGAGGUAAAAUUGUGCACUACUUGACAUCAGCUUGCUACUAGCACUACUAGUGAAAUGCUAAAUAUUCACUUGUUAAAUGUUACAAUGUUGCUAGUAGUACUUGUAGUGCACAGUUGUCAACUAAGGCAGUUUUUCCUCACUGGUAGCAUGUAGUUGUCAUACUAUGUAAAAGUUGCCCUACUAGUGAGGACAAAGAGUGUACCGUAUUUUCACAACCAUAAGGCGCACCGUAUUAAAAGGCGCAGUCUCAGUUACGGGGUCCAUUUCUGUAUUUAACACAUACAUAAGGCGCACCGUAUUAUUGGGCGCAGGCAUGGUAAAACAUACGCUAGCUUAAAACAGACGGUAGCAUGCAUGCACGCUAAAACAAAGGCAGCGGGAGCAAAACUGAGUUCGGUUGUACUUUAUUGAACUAUUUAAGAAUGUACACACGUUAUUUUUUGAACAAUCCUCAUGCACAAAUCCAUCAAAGUCUCCUCGUGUUCUGUAUCCGAAAUGAACAGCUGGGCAAGUUCUCCAUCAAACACGGCAGGUUCGCUCUCGUCAUUGUCAGAGUCAGUCUCGUUGCCGUGCGGCUCCUCAGAAAUGAUCCCGGCUUUUAGGAAAGCUCGAACAACAGUGCAAGCAGACACGUUAGCCCAAGCAUCCACAAUCCAUUCACAAAUUGUGCCGUAACUCGCCCGGCGCUGCCUCCUAGUCUUAGUAAAGCUGUGUUCGCCAUCUGUCAUCCAUCGCUCCCACGCCGCUCGCAACUUCACUUUGAACCGAUGUCCAGCGGUUGGAUUUCCCUCGUCAAGCCACUCGGAAUGAUGGCAAGCUCCGAGUUAUUGCGCUUAGUCGAAUGGUGAGUGUAGAGACGCUUGUCCCGGCUCUUCUUUGAACAUUAAUCUAUUGGUCGAGUUCCUCGCCUUGUUUCCGCGGAAACUCAGCUUUGUCUUCUUGACUUGGCGACGCUCGUUUUCCUGCUUCCUCCGCUUGCGAACCAUGGAUUCGUUGAUGUUGAAUUCUCUCGCGGCUGCUCGAUUCCCAAGUUCCUCCGCGUAACUGAUAGAUUGCAGUUCAAACUGUGCUUCGUAAGCGUGUCUUCGUAGGUGCCGUUUUCGGGGGUCCUUAGCCAAACCGAUGUUGAUUUGCACAAUGCACACCCCGGCGCUAUAUACCGACUGUGGGCGUGCCUUUAGCGUCCUGUGUCAAGCGCACCCUUCCCCCUUUACGUCUGUCUGCAUGCUGUCCUCAGCCACGUCCGCUUUUCCUCUGUAUAAGCAGCGUGUCGGCAGGAAAUGCUCCCAGUCAGUCAAGCGAAGCGCUCAUCGCACAACAACGUUUAUAGAUUUUGGAACUCUGUGCACACAUAAGGCGUCCCGCAUUAUAAGGCGCCCCCGUCCAUUUUGAAAAUGUAAGUCUUUUAAGUGCGCCUUAUGCUUGUGAAAAUGCGGUACUAGUACAUGGACGUUGAGCUGGAUAGCAAGGAUAUUGAGUAAAUGCUCAAAUGCAUUUAUUGGAUAUCCUUGAUAUCCAGCUUAAUGUCCAUGUACUAAUACAUGCCUUGUCUUCACUAUUAGACAAAUAUAUAAAUAAAUAUUUUUAAAAAAACUCAGCACACAUGUAGAACAACUAGGGUGCACUAGUAAAAUGAUCGUCUUACUAGUAACUAGUAGGACAAUGCUGGCAUACUAGUGGGACCAAUACAUGUUACUAGUGUGGCAAAACUUCACUAGUUCACAUUUGCGCACUACUAGUGAAAUGCUAGAUGUUAACUAGUAAACCUUUACUAAUAAUAAUAGUAGCACGUACAUUUCACCUAGUGCAGUUUUGCCUUACUAGCAACUGUCCUACUAGUAUGCUAAAGUAUCAAAUCCUUUAUACCCAGUUUAAAAUCCAUGUGCUAGUAUGCUCUUUGUUCUCACUAGUAAGACAAUUCACUACACUAGUAGAACUGGGUCUUACUUGUAUGACAUUUGUGCAUAGUAGUAGGACAAGAUCAUGUUCCUAGCGAGGCAAAACUGUGCACUAUCUGUGUGCUACUAGUGGACCCCAAAAGGCCAGGAUGAGUGCAAUGUGCUGAAAUGUGGAAGUCACGCUGCCCCCUUUUGUUUCAAUACACGAGACGUCGCUUCACCCCCGCCAACACGAUGUUUUUGGACACAGUUGCCUUGCCUGCAUGCUGCUUUUCGUUCCACAAUUUACAUCGAAGUUAAUUUAUUGUUCCUGACGUGUAUAUUUAUAUUAGCAGCCAUGAUUGAUGUUGCCAUUUUGGACAAGCAGUAUUUUGUAGCUUUUGUUUCUCUGUGUUUUUGUUAGGGUUAGGCUCUCUUUUUCAUGUGUAGUUAUUGGGGGAGGAAAUCUGAAUGUUUCAUUUUUUAUCCCAAGUGUACAUUAGUGAAUGUGCAUGAAGCUGUCGUGGCUGUGGCAUGAGUUGUUGUAGACGGACACACUUUGACCCACCGAACAGGAAACGGCAGAAGAGCCCACAUCUCCCCAGAUCCAUUUAUGGGAAGUCCCGAUGUUUUUUACUUUUCUUUUCUACACCAAUGACGUUAACGUGCUUCGUAGAUGUGCAUCUUCCCUGCUGUAUGUGUUUGCAGUAGUUGUUCUCCUGUAGACUAGCUGAACGUGAUGUUAGAUGGAUGUUCUACUCGGUAAGAAAACUAGAUUGUGGCUAAAUGUGAUUUUCAAGUAAGACUAAAAAGAAAAAGAAUGAUGUCUAAUUGUAGAUCAUCCUGGUUCAACUGAGUAGUUUGUACAUGUUGAGUGUAUAACGCUGUUCUCUCUAUGAUGUGUUUGUAUUUCUGUACACAAUUUGGUGAUCCUGUCAUAUCUGGGUUUUAUAAACCAGCGUUAUUUUUAAAGCUCA
Molecule: RNA transcript, 8877 nt
Organism: Phyllopteryx taeniolatus (common seadragon)
Lineage: Eukaryota; Metazoa; Chordata; Actinopteri; Syngnathiformes; Syngnathidae
Gene: xpr1a
Gene name: xenotropic and polytropic retrovirus receptor 1a
Exons: 15
Source: RefSeq, a predicted model, not a curated record